UAACGCGUGGGUAACCUGCUNCNUACAGGGGGAUAACAGUUGGAAACGACUGCUAAUACCGCAUAAGCGCACAGGGUCGCAUGACCUGGUGUGAAAAACUCCGGUGGUAUGAGAUGGACCCGCGUCUGAUUAGCCAGUUGGUGGGGUAACGGCCUACCAAAGCGACGAUCAGUAGCCGACCUGAGAGGGUGACCGGCCACAUUGGGACUGAGACACGGCCCAAACUCCUACGGGAGGCAGCAGUGGGGAAUAUUGCACAAUGGGGGAAACCCUGAUGCAGCGACGCCGCGUGAGCGAAGAAGUAUUUCGGUAUGUAAAGCUUUNUNNNCAGGGAAGAAGAAAUGACGGUACCUGACUAAGAAGCACCGGCUAAAUACGUGCCAGCAGCCGCGGUAAUACGUAUGGUGCAAGCGUUAUCCGGAUUUACUGGGUGUAAAGGGAGCGCAGGCGGUACGGCAAGUCUGAUGUGAAAGCCCGGGGCUCAACCCCGGUACUGCAUUGGAAACUGUCGGACUAGAGUGUCGGAGGGGUAAGUGGAAUUCCUAGUGUAGCGGUGAAAUGCGUAGAUAUUAGGAGGAACACCAGUGGCGAAGGCGGCUUACUGGACGAUUACUGACGCUGAGGCUCGAAAGCGUGGGGAGCAAACAGGANUAGAUACCCUGGUAGNCCACGCCGUAACGAUGAAUACUAGGUGU
RNAcentral lists this ribosomal RNA (695 nucleotides) under uncultured bacterium. RNAcentral describes it as "bacterial SSU rRNA". It matches the Rfam family "Bacterial small subunit ribosomal RNA", at positions 111 to 823 of the family's 1533-position model. The record is from RNAcentral.